RNAcentral lists this ribosomal RNA (633 nucleotides) under Triticum aestivum (bread wheat). Its description in RNAcentral is "partial small subunit ribosomal RNA". The record is from RNAcentral. Lineage: Eukaryota; Viridiplantae; Streptophyta; Magnoliopsida; Poales; Poaceae.
AUGUAUGAUAUCUGUCAGCAGCAAGAGUCUACUCUUGCACAGGUUUGGGUCGGUGGUGAACUUCAUCUUACUUUUAGAAGAUGUGUGGAGGAAAAGGCUAUAGCUAGAUGGAAUGAACUCACUAAUUUAGUUAAGCAGGUUGCUCUAUCUGAUUCUCCAGACCAACCUGUUUGGAUGCUGGAAUCUUCCAGCAAGUACUCUGUCAAGUCUUUUUAUAAAUUAAUCAAUUUUUUUGGGGGGGUGUUUGCUGAGAUUAAAGAUGAUAUCUGGAAAAUCAAAGUGCCACCCAAUAUCCAUGUUUUCCUGUGGUUGAUCUACUAUAAUAAGAGGUUGACCAGGGAUAAUCGUGCUAAGCGCAGGCAUGUAGAGGACAUGUCCUAUGUCUUUUGCAAUGAACCUGAGACCAUUCAACAUCUUUUCUUUGAAUGCAUAUUUGCUAUGCAGGUUUGGGAUAUAGUAGUUGAUAGCUUUAAUGUUAUUACACCUAAGAUGAGGAAACAUUUUGAAGCUUUGAACAUAGUUACUGCUGCUGCCUUGUGGAGCUUAUGGCGUUUGCGAAAUGAUUUUGUUUUCCAGGGGCGAAGAUGGCGAAGUAUAUGCUGUGCUUUGGAUCUGUUGGGUGCAACGAUCUAG